RNAcentral lists this ribosomal RNA (468 nucleotides) under uncultured bacterium. RNAcentral describes it as "partial 16S ribosomal RNA". It matches the Rfam family "Bacterial small subunit ribosomal RNA", at positions 28 to 507 of the family's 1533-position model. The record is from RNAcentral.
GACGAACGCUGGCGGCGUGCUUAACACAUGCAAGUCGAACGGAAAGGCCCUGCUUUUGUGGGGUGCUCGAGUGGCGAACGGGUGAGUAACACGUGAGUAACCUGCCCUUGACUUUGGGAUAACUUCAGGAAACUGGGGCUAAUACCGGAUAGGAGCUCCUGCUGCAUGGUGGGGGUUGGAAAGUUUCGGCGGUUGGGGAUGGACUCGCGGCUUAUCAGCUUGUUGGUGGGGUAGUGGCUUACCAAGGCUUUGACGGGUAGCCGGCCUGAGAGGGUGACCGGGCACAAUGGGACUGAGAUACGGACCAGACUCCUACGGGAGGCAGCAGUGGGGAAUAUUGCACAAUGGGCGGAAGCCUGAUGCAGCAACGCCGCGUGCGGGAUGACGGCCUUCGGGUUGUAAACCGCUUUCGCAUGUGACGAAGCGUGAGUGACGGUAAUGGGUAAAGAAGCACCGGCUAACUACGUG